UUUUCGGAUGGAUUUAAAGCAGCUUAGUGGCGGACGGGUGAGUAACGCGUGGGUAACCUGCCUCACACUGGGGGAUAACAGUUAGAAAUAGCUGCUAAUACCGCAUAAGCGCACAGCACCGCAUGGUGCAGUGUGAAAAACUCCGGUGGUGUGAGAUGGAUCCGCGUCUGAUUAGCUGGUUGGUGAGGUAACGGCCCACCAAGGCGACGAUCAGUAGCCGGCCUGAGAGGGUGAACGGCCACAUUGGGACUGAGACACGGCCCAAACUCC
RNAcentral lists this ribosomal RNA (270 nucleotides) under uncultured Eubacteriales bacterium. RNAcentral describes it as "uncultured Clostridiales bacterium partial 16S ribosomal RNA". It matches the Rfam family "Bacterial small subunit ribosomal RNA", at positions 71 to 339 of the family's 1533-position model. Lineage: Bacteria; Bacillati; Bacillota; Clostridia; Eubacteriales. The record is from RNAcentral.